UAUGCUCGAUGAAGAGAGUGGCUAAUCUCAUAAGCCACUUAUAUAAGAUACUAAUAUGAGGAUAUGGGUGCUCAUUAGAGAAUGAGUUCACUGAAUUAAUCUAACUUAAGAAAUAUCUUAUAGAAUCUACUUAUCCGUCAAAAGAUAUUUUCUUAUAGUAGGAGUUGUGCAUGUAAUCUUUUGACUUGAGACUAUCAUAGAACCUUGUAUACAUGAAUCUAUAUUUUUAUUCAUACUCAUUCAUAGCUUAGUCAUGUAUGGGGUG
This 265-nucleotide long non-coding RNA is filed under the name Elaeis guineensis (African oil palm). RNAcentral describes it as "long non-coding RNA (EGUI_LNC064537)". Lineage: Eukaryota; Viridiplantae; Streptophyta; Magnoliopsida; Arecales; Arecaceae. The record is from RNAcentral.